GACGAACGCUGGCGGCGUGCCUAAUACAUGCAAGUCGAGCGAAUUUUUUCUGGUUCUUGCACUAGAAAAACUUAGCGGCGAACGGGUGAGUAACACGUAAAGAACCUGCCUCAUAGACUGGGACAACUAUUGGAAACGAUAGCUAAUACCGGAUAACAGUAUUUCUCGCAUGAGAGAUAUUUAAAAGUUGGUUAUGCUAACACUAUGAGAUGGCUUUGCGGUGCAUUAGCUAGUUGGUGGGGUAAAGGCCCACCAAGGCGACGAUGCAUAGCCGACCUGAGAGGGUGAUCGGCCACACUGGGACUGAGACACGGCCCAGACUCCUACGGGAGGCAGCAGUAGGGAAUCUUCCGCAAUGGGCGAAAGCCUGACGGAGCAACGCCGCGUGAGUGAAGAAGGAUUUCGGUUCGUAAAGCUCUGUUGUUAGGGAAGAAUGGAUAUGUAGUAACUAUACAUGUAAGAGACGGUACCUAACCAGAAAGCCACGGCUAACUACGUG
Molecule: ribosomal RNA, 499 nt
Filed under: uncultured bacterium
Lineage: Bacteria
Description: partial 16S ribosomal RNA
Rfam family: Bacterial small subunit ribosomal RNA
Source: RNAcentral